UACAGAGGGUGCGAGCGUUGUCCGGAAUCACUGGGCGUAAAGGGCGCGUAGGCGGUCUCUUAAGCGUGUGGUGAAAGCCCGGGGCUCAACUCCGGGUCGGCCGUGCGAACUGGGGGACUGGAGCUUGUCAGAGGCAGGCGGAAUUCCCGGUGUAGCGGUGAAAUGCGCAGAUAUCGGGAGGAACACCAAUUGCGAAGGCAGCUCGCUGGGACGUUACUGACGCUGAGACGCGAAAGCGUGGGGAGCAAACAGG
This 253-nucleotide ribosomal RNA is filed under the name uncultured bacterium. Its description in RNAcentral is "partial 16S ribosomal RNA". It matches the Rfam family "Bacterial small subunit ribosomal RNA", at positions 524 to 776 of the family's 1533-position model. The record is from RNAcentral.